GCUCCCAUCGUCUAGCGGUCAGGACGCGGCCCUCUCAAGGCUGAAACCGGGGUUCGAUUCCCCGUGGGAGCGCCA
Molecule: transfer RNA, 75 nt
Filed under: Bradyrhizobium sp.
Lineage: Bacteria; Pseudomonadati; Pseudomonadota; Alphaproteobacteria; Hyphomicrobiales; Nitrobacteraceae
Also listed under: 4 other names
Description: tRNA-Glu
Rfam family: tRNA
About the family: Transfer RNA (tRNA) molecules are approximately 80 nucleotides in length. Their secondary structure includes four short double-helical elements and three loops (D, anti-codon, and T loops). Further hydrogen bonds mediate the characteristic L-shaped molecular structure. tRNAs have two regions of fundamental functional importance: the anti-codon, which is responsible for specific mRNA codon recognition, and the 3' end, to which the tRNAs corresponding amino acid is attached (by aminoacyl-tRNA synthetases). tRNAs cope with the degeneracy of the genetic code in two manners: having more than one tRNA (with a specific anti-codon) for a particular amino acid; and 'wobble' base-pairing, i.e. permitting non-standard base-pairing at the 3rd anti-codon position.
Source: RNAcentral